UGUGAAUUGCAGAAUUCAGUGAAUCAUCGAAUCUUUGAACGCACAUUGCGCCCCUUGGUAUUCCAUGGGGCAUGCCUGUUCGAGCGUCAUUUUGUACCCUCAAGCACUGCUUGGUGUUGGGCGUUUGUCCUGCAAAGGACUCGCCUGAAAGCGAUUGGCGGCCAACGUACUGGUGGUAGAGCGCAGCACAAUUUGCGUCUCUCCCUUCUACGUCGGCGUCCAUGAAGCCUUAUUCAAACGUUUGACCUCGGAUCAGGUAGGGAUACCCGCUGAACUUAAGCAUAUCAAUAAGCGGAGGAAAAGAAACCAACAGGGAUUGCCCUAGUAACGGCGAGUGAAGCGGCAUCAGCUCAAAUUUGAAAUCUGGCUCUUUCAGAGUCCGAGUUGUAAUUUGCAGAGGGCGGCUUUGGUGUCGGCAGCGGUCCAAGUUCCUUGGAA
This 438-nucleotide ribosomal RNA is filed under the name fungal sp. Its description in RNAcentral is "eukaryotic LSU rRNA". The stretch from base 243 to 438 matches the Rfam family "Eukaryotic large subunit ribosomal RNA", at positions 1 to 195 of the family's 3401-position model. The record is from RNAcentral. Lineage: Eukaryota; Fungi.